RNAcentral lists this ribosomal RNA (512 nucleotides) under uncultured bacterium. RNAcentral describes it as "bacterial SSU rRNA". It matches the Rfam family "Bacterial small subunit ribosomal RNA", at positions 15 to 518 of the family's 1533-position model. The record is from RNAcentral.
GAUCAUGGCUCAGGAUGAACGCUAGCUACAGGCUUAACACAUGCAAGUCGAGGGGCAGCAUUGGAGUAGCAAUACUUCAGAUGGCGAUCGGCGCACGGGUGAGUAACACGUAUCCAACCUGCCGUUUACUCGGGGGAUAGCCUUUCGAAAGAAAGAUUAAUACCCGAUGGUAUAAAGAGUUCGCAUGUUCUCUUUAUUAAAGAAUUUCGGUAAGCGAUGGGGAUGCGUUCCAUUAGAUAGUUGGCGGGGUAACGGCCCACCAAGUCUACGAUGGAUAGGGGUUCUGAGAGGAAGGUCCCCCACAUUGGAACUGAGACACGGUCCAAACUCCUACGGGAGGCAGCAGUGAGGAAUAUUGGUCAAUGGACGAGAGUCUGAACCAGCCAAGUAGCGUGAAGGAUGACUGCCCUAUGGGUUGUAAACUUCUUUUAUAAGGGAAUAAAGUGAGGGACGUGUCCCUUUUUGUAUGUACCUUAUGAAUAAGGAUCGGCUAACUCCGUGCCAGCAGCAGC